GGAGAGAUGUCUGAGUGGUUGAAGGAGCACGCCUGGAAAGUGUGUGUACGUUUACGCGUACCGAGGGUUCGAAUCCCUCUCUCUCCGCCA
RNAcentral lists this transfer RNA (90 nucleotides) under Gammaproteobacteria bacterium. RNAcentral describes it as "tRNA-Ser". It matches the Rfam family "tRNA". Rfam says of the family: Transfer RNA (tRNA) molecules are approximately 80 nucleotides in length. The record is from RNAcentral. Lineage: Bacteria; Pseudomonadati; Pseudomonadota; Gammaproteobacteria.